This is a small nuclear RNA of Artibeus jamaicensis (Jamaican fruit-eating bat), 182 nucleotides long. RefSeq annotates it as U2 spliceosomal RNA. The record is from RefSeq and is a predicted model, not a curated record. NCBI's taxonomy places the organism in Eukaryota, Metazoa, Chordata, Mammalia, Chiroptera, Phyllostomidae. The transcript has a single exon.
AUGUUACUGCUUUUGGCUAUGAUCAAGUGUAGUAUCUGUUCUUAUCAGUUUAAAAAUUAUUAUAUGUCUUUAAAGUAUAUAAUGUUGGCUGGUAAUUUUUAAAUAUGUGUACAGUGAAUAUACAUGCUAAGCAAAACAUAAUGGUUGGUGGGACAAAAGAACAUAUCUCCAGCUUUCCACAU